This 460-nucleotide ribosomal RNA is filed under the name uncultured bacterium. Its description in RNAcentral is "partial 16S ribosomal RNA". It matches the Rfam family "Bacterial small subunit ribosomal RNA", at positions 338 to 795 of the family's 1533-position model. The record is from RNAcentral.
CCUACGGGAGGCUGCAGUGAGGAAUAUUGGUCAAUGGACGCGAGUCUGAACCAGCCAAGUCGCGUGAAGGAUGACUGCCCUAUGGGUUGUAAACUUCUUUUAUAUGAGAAUAAAAUGUUACACGUGUGGGAUUUUGUAUGUACCAUAUGAAUAAGGAUCGGCUAACUCCGUGCCAGCAGCCGCGGUAAUACGGAGGAUCCGAGCGUUAUCCGGAUUUAUUGGGUUUAAAGGGUGCGUAGGUGGAUUGUUAAGUCAGUUGUGAAAUUUUGCGGCUCAACCGUAAAAUUGCAGUUGAGACUGGCAGUCUAGAGAACAGUAGAGGUAGGCGGAAUUCGUGGUGUAGCGGUGAAAUGCUUAGAUAGCACGAAGAACUCCGAUUGCGAAGGCAGCUCACUGGACUGCAACUGACACUGAGGCACGAAAGUGUGGGUAUCAAACAGGAUUAGAUACCCUGGUAGUC